AGAUCACCGCUAUUAGAGUUCCACUAACCCAUGCGAGUUCCUGGGUAAAACCAGAGCGAACGGCUGAGUAACACGUAGUUAACAUCACUUUAGGUGGCGAAUAACCUUGGGAAACUGAGAUGAAUACGCCAUAGUCAACAAUGCCUGGAACGGUUUAUUGACGAAAGCUUCGGCGCCUAAAGAUUGGACUGCGGAGGAUUAGGUCGAUGUUAGGGUAAUGACCUGACAUGCCAAUAAUCCUUAGGGGCCAUGAAAGUGGUAGCCUCCAGAUGGAUUCUGAGACACGAAUCCAGGCCCUAUGGGGCGCAGCAGGGGGGAAAACUCCGCAAUGCACGAAAGUGUGACGGGGGAACUCUAAGUGCCAGCACACUGUGUUGGCUUUUCAUUAGUCCAAAUCGCUAGUGGAAUAAGUGGGGGGUAAGACCGUUGCCAGCCUUUUUAAGAAUUGGCAAUGCCCAAGUCUUAGAACUGGAUGCCGCGGUAAUAACGGCUCCACAAGUGGUGAUCACGUAUAUUGGGUCUAAAGCAUUCGUAGCCGGUUUGUUAAGUCUUCUGUGAAAUCUGGCAGAAAACUGUCAGGCGUGCAGGAGAUACUGGCAAGCUUGGAACCGGGAGGAGCCUGGAGUACUUUUAGGGUAGGGGUAAAAUCCUGUAAUCCUAAAGGGACUACCUGUGGCGAAGGCGCCAGGCUAGAACGGAUUCGACGGUGAGGGAUGAAAGCGUGGGGAGCAAAGGGGAUUAGAUUUCGAAAAUCGAAGAUUUUCUGUAUUUCGUCGAUUUUCGACUAAAUACCCCCGUAGUCCACGCUGUAAACGAUGCCCGCUUGGUAUUGGAAGUUGCUAGACUUCUUCCAGUGCCGUAGGGAAGCCAUUGAGCGGGCCACCUGGGAAGUACAGUCGCAAGGCUGAAACUUAAAGGAAUUGGCGGGGGAGCACACAAGGGGUGCGGUCUGCGGUUC
This 958-nucleotide ribosomal RNA is filed under the name uncultured archaeon. RNAcentral's name for it is "bacterial SSU rRNA". It matches the Rfam family "Archaeal small subunit ribosomal RNA", at positions 21 to 903 of the family's 1478-position model. The record is from RNAcentral.